This 1252-nucleotide long non-coding RNA is filed under the name Pogona vitticeps (central bearded dragon). Its description in RNAcentral is "lncRNA (ENSPVIG00000025010.1)". Lineage: Eukaryota; Metazoa; Chordata; Lepidosauria; Squamata; Agamidae. The record is from RNAcentral.
AUGAACAUCAGAAAUAAUCUUAGAUCUCUUCUGACUUCAGAGAUCUCUACAGGUGGAUAUCUCUUGCAACCUUGUCUGCCUCAUACAAUGACACUCCUACAGCUAUCAGGCCCUCUUUUCUUCUUUUGGAAUAUAAGUCCACUGGCCAUAACCUGGAACAGCCUUCCUCACCAGGGUAUCCUCUGGAUGUGCAUCUUAAGAGCUACAGUAGCAUGGAGAGUACAGGUGGUGGGGAUCUUGAUCUACGAUUGAUCCUUGUGAGCAUGUUCUUGACACUCUCUGUGGAUCACCUUUUCCUGCUUCCACCAGACAAGCAAGCAAGAUGCAUCUAUACAGGCAGGACCUCUGCUCUAUCUCUGUAUACGCACAGAGAUACAGACAUAACUCAGAUCUCCACCCUAGCAAUCAUCAUUAAACCCUUGGAUGUUUCCCUGACCUAUGCCCUGCUCUAAUUAAUCAUGUGCCAUCAAGGAGAUAACAACCUACAGCAAGUCUCCUUGGGUUUCUAAGUAUAAAGUACUCAGAAGUUGUUUACGAGUCCAUCAUUCUGGUGGUGCUGUGGGGCCAUGCAGCUUGCCUAAAGCCACACAACUGGCAGGGCAAAUGACCCCACCAGUCACGCAUGCUCCUGAUGAUCUCAGCUGGCCCCUCUCCCAAAAGACCUGGUGGGAACCUGACCUUCUGUCUGAUGGCUCUGCAGCUGGGGGCUUCAACUAGCAGUCCCCAUAUGAGUUCAAUAUACAGUAACUCAAAUGCAUGCCAGUGCAACCCUAAUACAAGCAAAGCUGCUUAAUUAGUAUAAACCACUACACCUGGCUGUCCUUGCCCGAGAAAAUGUCUAUACCAAUUGAAACAGAGUCUCUAACCCAUCAAUAAUAUAGAGCUAGAGAGGAUGGGCACAGGCCCGUGAAUCCAAAGACUAUAGCACAGUGAAGCACUCAUCUCAAUGCAGACCUACGCUUCUAAAGCCAACCUUGGCUCGCCUUGCCCUAAGUGGUGAGGGAAAUAGAACCAGGAACAGUUCUGUCUUACAAUUUGACUCAUUCUAGCACAGAAAUUAAGCAAACUUUUGUUUAAACUGCUCUGAGAAAACACAGAUGGAAUGGAAAUGACAUAAUACAAAUGUGUGUUCAAUCCACAUAAUCAGUAUAGUUCAAGUUUCCAUAAUUUGCUUGAAUGACAAAGAGCCCUGUGGCACUUUAAAGACAUAUAAAUUUAUGCUACUGUGAGCUUUUACAGUCAAUAGUCCACU